RNAcentral lists this ribosomal RNA (379 nucleotides) under uncultured eukaryote. RNAcentral describes it as "partial 18S ribosomal RNA". It matches the Rfam family "Eukaryotic small subunit ribosomal RNA", at positions 592 to 976 of the family's 1831-position model. The record is from RNAcentral.
CAAUAGCGUAUAUUAAAGUUGUUGCAGUUAAAAAGCUCGUAGUUGAACUUCAGACCUGGCCGGGCGGUCUGCCUAACGGUAUGUACUGUCUGGCUGGGUCUUACCUCUUGGUGAGCCGGCAUGCCCUUUACUGGGUGCGUCGGGGAACCAGGACUUUUACCUUGAGAAAAUUAGAGUGUUCAAAGCAGGCCUAUGCCUGAAUACAUUAGCAUGGAAUAAUAAAAUAGGACGUGCGGUUCUAUUUUGUUGGUUUCUAGAGUCGCCGUAAUGAUUAAUAGGGAUAGUUGGGGGCAUUAGUAUUCAGUUGCUAGAGGUGAAAUUCUUGGAUUUACUGAAGACUAACUACUGCGAAAGCAUUUGCCGAGGAUGUUUUCAUUAA